This is a long non-coding RNA of Phasianus colchicus (ring-necked pheasant), 1812 nucleotides long. Lineage: Eukaryota; Metazoa; Chordata; Aves; Galliformes; Phasianidae. The record is from Ensembl.
AUGGAAAGGGAAAUAAAUCACACCGGCCAUAGGCAGAGCUCCCACUCCGUGACAUACCGUGCCACGAGCCGAGGGCUGCUAGGUUUACCGAAUCAACAUCUUCUAAUCCACCUAAAAACACCAUCCGGACCUCAACUCCUCAGGACCCUCGGGCAUAAAGGAUGCAGCACCUUUGGAGAUGGUGGGGCUUUCUACAGACACACCGCAGCCUUCCCCCGCAGGCUGUCAGUGGCGAAUGAUGCCAAGAGAGCUCGGCCGGGACCCGCUGCCGGCAGGGACGUGCCCUGCAUGUCCCCAGACUCGUCCCCCCACCAGCGCUACGAUGCACACCCGCACCGAGAACGCUCCCUGAGCGAGCCGGGUAGCGAGGCACAGCGCACCGCCAGCAGUCUGCCAGACCGCGAGAUGGAGAGCCCAUCGCGUGUAUUUACACAGCUACCAACGCCGCACGGAACAGAUAUUCCCUGUGUUAAGAAAAACGCGAAGGAAAACAAAAAAAAAAAAAAUUUUUUUUUUUUAAAUGCCCCCGAAGAUUUGCUGCUGCUCAUCAUCCUUCCCUUCUCUUUCCAUUCAUUUAUAAAAACGAAAGGGAAAAAUGCCCAUCCAAAUGCCCAACGACUGCGGAUCGCGGCGGCCCCGCGCGGUACCACCCGCCACCCGGGGGCUGAGCGCAGCGGCCCGCUCCCGCCCGCCACUGCCCAGCGCCCCAGCGCGGCUCUACAGCGGCACUCGGAGGAGCGCUCCUCCCGGACCCGCGGCCGCUCCGCCACCGCCGCUCCGGGCCUCACGUGGUGCCCAUCCAAAGGUUACUCGCACGGCGCGGGGCGCUCCGGCCGCGGCGCGCUCCCACCCUCCGCGAUGCGCCGCGCCGCGCUCCAUCCCCGCCUCCCUCCCGGGGUGCGGCAGCGCGGGGCUCGCACGGCCGCUCCCCCCGGCCGCCACCUUAAUCCGCGCGAGGCCGUGCGGGGCAGCUCUCGCUCGGCCCCGCAUCCGCUGCCCUCAAGGUCACGCCGCGCCGCGCGCUCCGGUUACCUCCCGCGGAGCGCAGCGGGAGGCACGCGGCGCCCCGGCCCCGCCGAGCCCCUGCACCUGCCGGCGCGCCACUGCGGAGAGAGCGGCGGAGCAGAGCCGUGCCGAGCGGAGCCGAUCCGAGGCGCUCCAGCAACCACCGCCCGCCCGCCGCGCUUACCUCGGGGCCGCCCCCGCCGCCGGUCGGGACGAGGCGCCCGCGAAGCUGCCCCUGCCCCUGCCGCCGCCCGCCGAGCGCGAGGUCCCCGCGCCGCGCCGCCCCCGCCCUGCGGCCAAGGGAGGGAGGGAGCGGGGAGGGGAAGGGGCGGGGGCGCGGGACCGAAUUGGGGAGGGAGGGAGGGGCGGGGAGGGGGCACCGGCGCGGAGGGAGGAGGAGGGGGGGGGAAGCGAGGAGGAGGCGGAGGAAGGGGGGGGCUCGGGCCGCUCCGCCGGCCGCGGCCAGACUCACCCUCCGGCGGCGCUCCGGGGCCGCCGCCGCGCGCUUCGUGCCGCACGCACCGGGCAGCGCCGAGCGCGCCGCGGAGCCCGAGCCCCGCACAGCGACCGCUACAGGAGCCGGGCGGGGCGGAGCGGAGCCGGGCGGGGCGGGGCCGGGCCGAGCGCGCCUCCCGCCCACUCGCCUCCCGCCCGCCCGCCCGCCCGCGGCCGCUCACCCUCCGCUGCCGGCGCCCGGCGCGCCCCUCGCCGCCCGCCCGUCACGUGGCGGUGCCCCUCGCGCGGUCGCCCGAGGGGAGUCCCGACGCGCGGCGCCCUCGGGGGGCAGGAGGGGACGCGCCGCGAUAG